GUUAUAUGGUCAAGCGAAUAAGCGCACACGGUGGAUGCCUAGGCGGUCAGAGGCGAUGAAGGACGUGGUAGCCUGCGAAAAGUGUCGGGGAGCUGGCAACAAGCUUUGAUCCGGCAAUAUCCGAAUGGGGAAACCCACUGCUUCGGCAGUAUCCUGCAGUGAAUUCAUAGCUGCUGGAAGCGAACCCGGUGAACUGAAAUAUCUAAGUAACCGGAGGAAAAGAAAUCAACCGAGAUUCCCUAAGUAGUGACGAGCGAACGGGGAGCAGCCCUUAAGCUGGAAUGGCUUUAGAAAAACAAUCUGGAAAGAUUGGCCAUAGAAGGUGAUAGCCCUGUAUUUAAAAGGGCCACUCCAGUGAAGACGAGUAGGGCGGGGCACGUGAAACCCUGUCUGAAUAUGGGGGGACCAUCCUCCAAGGCUAAAUACUCCUGACCGACCGAUAGUGAACCAGUACCGUGAGGGAAAGGCGAAAAGAACCCCGGAGAGGGGAGUGAAAUAGAUCCUGAAACCGUGUGCGUACAAGCAGUAGGAGCUCGCAAGAGUGACUGCGUACCUUUUGUAUAAUGGGUCAGCGACUUACUGUUCGUGGCAAGCUUAACCGUAUAGGGGAGGCGAAGGGAAACCGAGUCUGAUAAGGGCGCAUAGUCGCGGGCAGUAGACCCGAAACCGGGUGAUCUAGUCAUGGCCAGGGUGAAGGUGCCGUAACAGGUACUGGAGGCCCGAACCCACGUCUGUUGCAAAAGACGGGGAUGAGCUGUGAUUAGGAGUGAAAAGCUAAUCGAACCCGGAGAUAGCUGGUUCUCCUCGAAAGCUAUUUAGGUAGCGCCUCGGACGAAUACUACUGGGGGUAGAGCACUGUUAUGGCUAGGGGGUCAUCGCGACUUACCAAACCAUUGCAAACUCCGAAUACCAGUACGUACUAUCCGGGAGACACACGGCGGGUGCUAACGUCCGUCGUGAAAAGGGAAACAACCCAGACCCACAGCUAAGGUCCCAAAUUCACUGCUAAGUGGAAAACGAUGUGGAAAGGCAUAGACAGCCAGGAGGUUGGCUUAGAAGCAGCCACCCUUUAAAGAAAGCGUAAUAGCUCACUGGUCGAGUCGGUCUGCGCGGAAGAUUUAACGGGGCUAAGCAGUGAACCGAAGCUUGGGGUGCGUAAAACUUCGGUUUUAUGCGCGGUAGAGGAGCGUUCCGUAAGCCUGCGAAGGUGGAUUGAGAAGUCUGCUGGAGGUAUCGGAAGUGCGAAUGCUGACAUGAGUAACGAUAAUGCGGGUGAAAAGCCCGCACGCCGAAAGCCCAAGGUUUCCUUGCGCAACGUUAAUCGACGCAGGGUUAGUCGGUCCCUAAGGCGAGGGCGAAAGCCGUAGUCGAUGGGAAGCAGGUUAAUAUUCCUGCACCUCGCGUGAGUGCGAUGGAGGGACGGAGAAGGUUAGGUGUACCGGGCGUUGGUUGUCCCGGGGAAAGGCGGUAGGUUUGGAUCUUUGGCAAAUCCGGGACCCUUUAAGACCGAGCACCGAGACGAGCCUUUAUGGCGAAGUCACUGAUACCACGCUUCCAGGAAAAGCUCCUAAGCUUCAGCUCACGAAGACCGUACCGUAAACCGACACAGGUGGGUAGGAUGAGAAUUCUCAGGCGCUUGAGAGAACUCGGGUGAAGGAACUAGGCAACAUGGCACCGUAACUUCGGGAGAAGGUGCACCCUUUUUGGUGGCUCAUGCGAGCUAUAGCUGAAGAGGGUCGCAGAAACCAGGCCGCUGCGACUGUUUAUCAAAAACACAGCACUCUGCAAACACGAAAGUGGACGUAUAGGGUGUGACGCCUGCCCGGUGCUGGAAGGUUAAUUGAUGGGGUCAGCCGCAAGGCGAAGCUCUUGAUCGAAGCCCCAGUAAACGGCGGCCGUAACUAUAACGGUCCUAAGGUAGCGAAAUUCCUUGUCGGGUAAGUUCCGACCUGCACGAAUGGCGUAACGACAGCGGCGCUGUCUCCACCCGAGACUCAGUGAAAUUGAAAUCGCUGUGAAGAUGCAGCGUUCCCGUGGCAAGACGGAAAGACCCCGUGAACCUUUACUAUAGCUUUACACUGAACGUUGAGUUCGUCUGUGUAGGAUAGGUGGGAGGCUAUGAAACUGUGGCGCUAGCUGCAGUGGAGCCAUCCUUGAAAUACCACCCUGUCGUGCUUGACGUUCUAACCUAGGUCCGUUAUCCGGAUCAGGGACCGUGUAUGGUGGGUAGUUUGACUGGGGCGGUCUCCUCCUAAAGAGUAACGGAGGAGCACGAAGGUACGCUCAGCGCGGUCGGACAUCGCGCACUGUGUGCAAAGGCAUAAGCGUGCUUGACUGCAAGAUCGACGGAUCAAGCAGGUACGAAAGUAGGUCUUAGUGAUCCGGUGGUUCUGUAUGGAAGGGCCAUCGCUCAACGGAUAAAAGGUACUCCGGGGAUAACAGGCUGAUACCGCCCAAGAGUUCAUAUCGACGGCGGUGUUUGGCACCUCGAUGUCGGCUCAUCACAUCCUGGGGCUGUAGUCGGUCCCAAGGGUAUGGCUGUUCGCCAUUUAAAGUGGUACGCGAGCUGGGUUCAGAACGUCGUGAGACAGUUCGGUCCCUAUCUGCCAUGGGCGUUGGAAGUUUGAGAGGGGCUGCUCCUAGUACGAGAGGACCGGAGUGGACGAACCUCUGGUGUUCCGGUUGUCACGCCAGUGGCAUUGCCGGGUAGCUAUGUUCGGAAGCGAUAACCGCUGAAAGCAUCUAAGCGGGAAGCGCGCCUCAAGAUGAGACUUCCCGGGGCACAAGCCCCCUAAAGGAACCAUGUAGACUACGUGGUUGAUAGGUCAGGUGUGUAAGUACAGCAAUGUAUUGAGCUAACUGAUACUAAUGAUCCGUGCGGCUUGACCAUAUAACCUCA
RNAcentral lists this ribosomal RNA (2899 nucleotides) under Xanthomonas oryzae pv. oryzicola. Its description in RNAcentral is "bacterial LSU rRNA". It matches the Rfam family "Bacterial large subunit ribosomal RNA". The record is from RNAcentral. Lineage: Bacteria; Pseudomonadati; Pseudomonadota; Gammaproteobacteria; Lysobacterales; Lysobacteraceae.